UGGACACAGGACUUCACAGACCCCCCAGAACCUGGAGUUCCUGGCACUGCAGGAUGGCGGAACUCUUGUUUGUUACAAGUUCCCAGCAGGAGUGUGGCCAGCGGAUCUCUGGCUUUAGCUGGAAGCUCUGUUUCUGUUUCUGGAUGCACUGCCCGGCCUGUUCUAUUCAUUUAUUGAGCACUUACUGUGUGCCUGGCUCUGCAAGGGAUAGGCUCUGUCCCCACACAGCCUCACCGUGAUCCUGUCAAAACAGAACAAAACAAACCGUGCUGGGGCCCAGAAGGAUCCAGAACAGGGCACAGUGUUGGAGGAUCACAAGACGGGAGGCGUGAACGCCAUUUGUGAACACCACUUGAAUGGGCAGCUGGAAGGGGGUCUUCUUAGGAGGUGACAAGCGAGCUGAGACUUAAGUGGUGGGAAGCAUUCCAGGCAGAGGGAACGGUAAGUGCGAAAGCCCCGAGGCAGGCCCCAGUCUGGUCAGCUGGGAAAACAGCGAAGGGCCUGAACGUCCCUCUGUCCCUGGAAAGAGGGAGGAGUUUGGGUGUUAUUGUGAGGACAAUAGGGAGCCAUUGAAUACUCCAACACACACACACACACUCAAAUCCUUAUCCUCAGGAUCUCUGUUCCUCUCCCCACCCUCGCAUCCUCCAGAUCUCAUCUCCAAUGUAAACUUCUUCAAAGACGCCUCUCCCAGACACCCGGAUAAGCAGGUUCCCUCUCAUUCAUUUCCAUACCUGCUCCCCAAACUCUUCCUUUGUACACACAAAUAAUUCCAUAAUUACCAAGCUGUGGUCUUGUCUUGUUCCCGGAGCUCAGAGAAGGCAGGAAUCUGUAUUCCUCCGCUCUCCCUUAUAUUCCCGGUACCUGGAAGGGUGCCUGGCAGGUAAUAGAUGUUCCAGAAACACCUGUUGGCUGGAAGGCACUGCUCUUAAGUUUAACAGGGUUUGGGGCACUAUUUGCUCACUCCCCUGCAGACACAGAUGCAGGGAUUGAUACAAAGCAAGGGUUUCUCUCUGUUUUGCUCUCUGCUGUGCCCAGUGCCCAGCGCAGUGUGCCGUCCACAACAGGUGGUCGAUACGUGUUUGUUGAUCGACUUAACAAAAGACCAUGAGGUUUUCCAUAAGCAGGAUGGGAAUAAGAAUGUCCCCCCUCCCAGGUGGGAACACUGAGGCCCAGAGAGGGGCCCAGAGAGACGCCAGCACCGGGCCAGGCCGCCUCCUAAGUCUUAGCCCACUCCCUCAGAAAGGCCAUUUCUGACCCCAACUGUCCCCUGACCGCCACGCUGCUCCCCACUGUGGGCCCCCAGGUGUUUCUUGGUUUCCUUGCGUGUGUCUCUCGCUUGGGCCGUCGGGGAGGGGGGGGGGGACGAC
RNAcentral lists this long non-coding RNA (1370 nucleotides) under Felis catus (domestic cat). RNAcentral describes it as "lncRNA (ENSFCAG00000050036.1)". Lineage: Eukaryota; Metazoa; Chordata; Mammalia; Carnivora; Felidae. The record is from RNAcentral.